This 269-nucleotide ribosomal RNA is filed under the name Buthacus yotvatensis. RNAcentral's name for it is "partial large subunit ribosomal RNA". The record is from RNAcentral. Lineage: Eukaryota; Metazoa; Arthropoda; Arachnida; Scorpiones; Buthidae.
GGGAGAAUUUUUUUAAGGUUAAGAAAAUGAAUUUUACUUUUUAGUAAGAAGGCUAAAAUAAAUCUUUUAGACAAGAAGACCCUUUAAAACUUUAUAUUUUUAAACUCAGAGGAGAGUUUGAAGGUAUUUCACUGGGGCGGUGGAAAAAUAGUCUUUUUUUAAAAAAAGAGAACAUUCUUGUUAAAGUAUCUAGAAAUUCUGAAGGAGAAAUAAGUUACUUAAGGGAUAACAGCUUAAUUUACUUUGAAAGAUCAAAUUGACAAGUAAGU